UCCCCGGUAGCUCAGUGGUAGAGCGAGCGGCUGUUAACCGCUAGGUCGGUGGUUCGAAUCCGCCCCGGGGAG
RNAcentral lists this transfer RNA (72 nucleotides) under Limimonas halophila. RNAcentral's name for it is "Rhodospirillaceae bacterium Ia16 tRNA". It matches the Rfam family "tRNA". Rfam says of the family: Transfer RNA (tRNA) molecules are approximately 80 nucleotides in length. Their secondary structure includes four short double-helical elements and three loops (D, anti-codon, and T loops). Lineage: Bacteria; Pseudomonadati; Pseudomonadota; Alphaproteobacteria; Rhodospirillales; Rhodovibrionaceae. The record is from Rfam by way of RNAcentral.